Molecule: ribosomal RNA, 467 nt
Filed under: uncultured bacterium
Lineage: Bacteria
Description: partial 16S ribosomal RNA
Rfam family: Bacterial small subunit ribosomal RNA
Source: RNAcentral
GACGAACGCUGGCGGCGUGCUUAACACAUGCAAGUCGAACGGAAAGGCCUCUUUCGGGGGGUACUCGAGUGGCGAACGGGUGAGUAACACGUGAGUAACCUGCCCUUGACUUUGGGAUAACUUCAGGAAACUGGGGCUAAUACCGGAUAGGAGCUCCUGCCGCAUGGUGGGGGUUGGAAAGUUUCGGCGGUUGGGGAUGGACUCGCGGCUUAUCAGCUUGUUGGUGGGGUAGUGGCUUACCAAGGCCUUGACGGGUAGCCGGCCUGAGAGGGUGACCGGCCACAUUGGGACUGAGAUACGGCCCAGACUCCUACGGGAGGCAGCAGUGGGGAAUAUUGCACAAUGGGUGGAAGCCUGAUGCAGCAACGCCGUGUGCGGGAUGACGGCCUUCGGGUUGUAAACCGCUUUCGCUCAUGACGAAGCUUUGUGUGACGGUAGUGGGUAAAGAAGCACCGGCUAACUACGUG